This 446-nucleotide ribosomal RNA is filed under the name uncultured Bryobacterales bacterium. Its description in RNAcentral is "bacterial SSU rRNA". It matches the Rfam family "Bacterial small subunit ribosomal RNA", at positions 335 to 798 of the family's 1533-position model. The record is from RNAcentral. Lineage: Bacteria; Pseudomonadati; Acidobacteriota; Terriglobia; Bryobacterales.
GUACCUACGGGCGGCUGCAGUGGGGAAUCUUGCACAAUGGGGGAAACCCUGAUGCAGCGACGCCGCGUGAGCGAUGAAGCCCUUCGGGGUGUAAAGCUCUUUCGACGGGAACGAUGAUGACGGUACCCGGAGAAGAAGCUGCGGCUAACUACGUGCCAGCAGCCGCGGUAAUACGUAGGCAGCAAGCGUUGUUCGGAGUUACUGGGCGUAAAGAGUGCGUAGGCGGUUUCGCAAGUUUGUUGUGAAAUCUCCCGGCUUAACUGGGAGGGUGCGGCGAAAACUGCGGGGCUGGAGUGUGGGAGAGGUAAGCGGAAUUCCUGGUGUAGCGGUGAAAUGCGUAGAUAUCAGGAGGAACACCGGCGGUGUAGACGGCUUACUGGACCAUGACUGACGCUGAGGCACGAAAGCGUGGGGAGCAAACAGGAUUAGAUACCCUGGUAGUCAUC